UUCAUUGAUUUGGUUCCUCAACUCCUUCAUCUGUACACGACUCAUGCGGUAAGGGAAAACCAAAAUUAGUUGGGUGUCUGGCUGAAGAUAUAUGGUAAAUUCAACUUCCAUAUCCACUGGCAGUCCGGGUAGUUCAUACGGUAAUACAUCCGAGAAGUCUCGAACUACCAAAAUCUCUCAAAUACAAAUUUUUUUCUUAGGUUUGCCUAGUUAGAGAAAACAGCUGAGUUAAAGCACUUGAUAAUAGG
This 248-nucleotide long non-coding RNA is filed under the name Carica papaya (papaya). RNAcentral describes it as "long non-coding RNA (CPAP_LNC016423)". Lineage: Eukaryota; Viridiplantae; Streptophyta; Magnoliopsida; Brassicales; Caricaceae. The record is from RNAcentral.